RNAcentral lists this ribosomal RNA (279 nucleotides) under uncultured Staphylococcus sp. RNAcentral describes it as "partial 16S ribosomal RNA". It matches the Rfam family "Bacterial small subunit ribosomal RNA", at positions 81 to 351 of the family's 1533-position model. The record is from RNAcentral. Lineage: Bacteria; Bacillati; Bacillota; Bacilli; Caryophanales; Staphylococcaceae.
CUCCUUUGACGUUAGCGGCGGACGGGUGAGUAACACGUGGGUAACCUACCUAUAAGACUGGGAUAACUUCGGGAAACCGGAGCUAAUACCGGAUAAUAUUUCGAACCGCAUGGUUCGAUAGUGAAAGGUGGUUUUGCUAUCACUUAUAGAUGGACCCGCGCCGUAUUAGCUAGUUGGUAAGGUAACGGCUUACCAAGGCGACGAUACGUAGCCGACCUGAGAGGGUGAUCGGCCACACUGGAAUGAGACACGGUCCAGACUCCUACGGGAGGCAGAGGC